GAAGUCAGUCUCUAAUGUCCCAUGGUCUAAAUCUUGGAAAAGAAGGGGUUAGACCAUCAGACUAUCCAUCAGGUUGUGAACAUACUGUGUGCGUGAGCUGACAUCGUCUAACAGUGCAGAAUCCCCAAAUGGGAAGCCACCAAGCAGGAACACAUCGCCUUGCCAACAUAUCCCUAUGUCCCUUUGUGGAGGACUUGAGGAGAAUCCAAAAGGGUACCUUGGCUGCUGCUAUGAUGUUGAAGGAACAAAUCAAGGACACGAGGUUGAAGGAUGCAGUGUGGCAGAUUUCAAACAGGAGAGCUGCUGAGUACUUUACUACCUUUUGUAUUUUCAAAAUAAGGAUUGCAAUAAUAGAAGAAAUAU
Mustela erminea (ermine) is the source of this 363-nucleotide long non-coding RNA. RefSeq lists it as uncharacterized. The transcript is spliced from 3 exons. Lineage: Eukaryota; Metazoa; Chordata; Mammalia; Carnivora; Mustelidae. The record is from RefSeq and is a predicted model, not a curated record.